GACAGAGGAGGCAAGCGUUGUCCGGAUUGACUGGGCGUAAAGCGUCCGCAGGUGGUCGCGCAAGUGCGCUGUGAAAGCGGCCCGCUCAACGGGCCGAGGCCAGCGCAGACUGCGCAACUCGAGGUCGGGAGAGGUCGGUGGAAUUGCCGGUGUAGUGGUGAAAUGCGUAGAGAUCAGGAGGAACACCGGUGGCGAAGGCGGUUCUCUGGGCAUGUCCUGACGCUGAGGAGCGAAAGUGUGGGGAGCGAACAGG
RNAcentral lists this ribosomal RNA (253 nucleotides) under uncultured bacterium. Its description in RNAcentral is "partial 16S ribosomal RNA". It matches the Rfam family "Bacterial small subunit ribosomal RNA", at positions 524 to 776 of the family's 1533-position model. The record is from RNAcentral.